This 325-nucleotide ribosomal RNA is filed under the name uncultured eukaryote. Its description in RNAcentral is "partial 18S ribosomal RNA". It matches the Rfam family "Eukaryotic small subunit ribosomal RNA", at positions 1470 to 1796 of the family's 1831-position model. The record is from RNAcentral.
CCCUUAGAUGUUCUGGGCCGCAUACGCGCUACACUGAAGGAGGCAGCGUGUACUCCUGGAUCGAAAGAUUUGGGUAACCCGCGAAUCUCCUUCGUGCUAGGGAUUGAGGUUUGCAAUUAUCCUUCAUGAACGAGGAAUUCCCAGUAAGUGCAAGUCAUAAGCUUGCGCUGACUACGUCCCUGCCCUUUGUACACACCGCCCGUCGCUACUACCGAUUGAAUGUGUUGGUGAGGAGCUCGGAUUGGCAGCAGUUGGUGGUUCGCCACCGGCUAUUGCUGAGAAGUCCUCCAAACCGCCCCAUUUAGAGGAAGGAGAAGUCGUAACA